GCCCGGCUAGCUCAAUCGGCAGAGCGUGAGACUCUUAUCGUUGAAAUCUCAAGGCUGUGGGUUCGACCCCCACGUUGGGCG
Transfer RNA from Pneumocystis jirovecii, 81 nucleotides. It matches the Rfam family "tRNA". Rfam says of the family: Transfer RNA (tRNA) molecules are approximately 80 nucleotides in length. Their secondary structure includes four short double-helical elements and three loops (D, anti-codon, and T loops). Lineage: Eukaryota; Fungi; Ascomycota; Pneumocystomycetes; Pneumocystales; Pneumocystaceae. The record is from Rfam.